This is a long non-coding RNA of Haemorhous mexicanus (house finch), 6834 nucleotides long. RefSeq lists it as uncharacterized. The record is from RefSeq and is a predicted model, not a curated record. The transcript is spliced from 2 exons. Lineage: Eukaryota; Metazoa; Chordata; Aves; Passeriformes; Fringillidae.
UCGAUGUAUUGGGUGUUGAAUCACUGCUGCAUUAUAAAUGAUCCUGCUUUUUUUCUUUAACUUCCAAGGGUAAGCUUACUUUGGACUCAGGAACUGCUUGUUGCUUUAACGUGUCAGUUUGUGCUUUUAAAGUAGCACUGUAUUUGAGAGUCUGAGAAAUAAGAAAACUGAUAUGACAAUGACUGUUAAGCUGUGAAAAGCUGUCAUCAGCUCUACUCAAUGGAGGGCUUUAUUUUAAAAAUGAAAGAGCUAUAUUAAAAACGCCCACCAAGUAAAAUGAACUGUAAGAUUGUAGAUGAUAGGAAAAUGCUCAAGGUAUAUAUGUGGUGCCUGUGAGUAAUAACUCUGAGAGUUUACAAUGGGUUCCACAAAAAUUGUAGUUUAGCAACAGUUUUCUUCUUUUGCAAUGUCAUCCUGAGAAAAUAAAAAAGCCAUACUGGUGGAGACUGGAGUUUCUUCCUGACUUCUGGCUGUAGGCUAUCACAAAUGAAUAAAGUUUGUUUUGAAGAUAUCCCUGGACUAGUUUCAGAGUACUGAUAUCCCUUAUAAAUAGGAUAAAAUACUGAAAUUUCUUCAUGGUCCUAAGAAAGUUUGUGAAAGAUUUAUGGGUGUUUGUAAUAGGUAUAUGUAGUUCCCAUCUAUGUCAUGUAUUUGCAUGCUUUUUGAUCUUAUUCCCACUAAUGAUGCACAUUAAGGAUUCGUGCUUAGUGUCAUUCAUCAAUGAACAGGAUGCAAGGACUGUAGGCACAAGUCUAUAGUUGUGAGCAAAACUGCAGGCAGUGUCCUCAUUUGGGGAGCACUUAUUAAACAAGUGUUCUAGAGAACAUUUCAGUAGGUAUUUAUUGAGACAGCUGGUGUGGCUUCACCAAGGGCAAGUCCUGCCUGACCAACCUAGUAGCCUUCUGUGAUGGAGUGACUCCACUGGUUGACAAGGAAAGGGCUACAGGUGUAAUUAACCUGGCCUUGUGUAAAGCUUUUGACAUGGUCCCCCUCAACAUCCUUCUCUCUAAAUUGGAGAGAAAUGGAUGUGGUGGUAGGUAGAUAAGAAAGCGGUUGAACUGUCUCAUUCAAAGGGUGGUGGCCAUUGUCGCUGACUCCCAGUGGACGGGAGGUGUCUCUCAGGAAUCUGUACUGACAUCACUGUUAUUUAAUAUCUCAAUUAAUAUCUUAAUUUAAUAUCUUAAUUAAUGGCUUAGAUGAUGGGAUCAAGUGCACCCUCAGCAAAUUUGCAUAUGACACCAAGCUGAGUGCUGUGGCUGACACACUUGAGGGAACAAGGCAAAAAAGUGAGUCCGUGGGAGUCUCAUGAGGUUUAAUAAGGCAAAGUGCAAGGUGCUGCACCUGGGUCAGAGCAGCCUCUGGUAUCAGCACAGCUGGGGGAUGAACAGAUGGAGAGUAGGGGAGAAGGACUCAGGAGUGCUGGUGGGUGAGAGGCUGGACAUGACCCAGCCAUGGGCACUCCCAGCCCAGAAAGCCAAACGUGUCCUGGCUGCAUCCAGAGCAGCGUGGGCAGCAGGGCCAGGGAGGGGAUUCUGCCCCUCUGCUCUGGUCAGAGCCCACCUGGAACCCUGCAUCCAGCUCUGCGGUUCCAGCACAGGGAGGACAUGGAACUGCUGGAGGUGGUCCAGAGGAGGCCACCAAGAUGAUAAGAGGGAUGAAGCACAUCUAUUAUGAGAAAAUGCUGAGAGAAUUAUUUGGGAUUGAUUAGCCUGCAAAAGAGAAGGCUUAGGGGUGACCUAAGUGCAGCCUUCCAGCACCUGAAGGGAACCUGCAAGAAAGUUGGAGGGACACUAUUUAGAAGAUUGUGUAGUGACAGUACAAGGGGGAAUGACUUCAAAAGUGGCAGGUUUAGGUUAGAUACUAGGAAGGAAUUCUUUACUGUGGGCAUGGUGAGGCACUGGUACAGAUUGCCCAAAGAAGUGUUGGAUGCCCUAUCUUUGGAAGGUGUUUAAAGCUGAAUUGCUUGGGGCUCUGAGCAACCUGGUCUAGUGGAAAUUGUCCCUGCCAAUGGCAAGGAUAUUGGAAUUAUAUGUCCUUUCCAACCCAAAUGCUUCUACAACUGGAGGCAGGAAGUGAACUAAGCAGGAAUCAAGAAUGGCUGGGUUCAGUUUUCUGCAUGGAAGAGUUUGUAUUGAUUGUGGGAUACUCAAAGUUUGCCACCUUUGAUAAGAAUACAGAGGAGGAAUGAAUGGAAAGGGAGCUCCAGUGUAGUGCAACACUGAAUGCUUAUAUCAUCUAGGAAGACAUGCUCUGCCUCAAAGUAGGCCCAGAUUGUCCAUCCAGAAACUAGUACAGCUCAUCUACUGCAUCAGGUAGUUUUCAUUUCUAGAAUUUUGGAGGAUAUGGGUGGUUUUUUUGGUUUUAAGGGUCAUUCUCUCUGCAGUAGAAGGCGAGAAAAGGCUCUUUGCAGCUCUCGGAUAAUUGGUGAGCCAAAAAAAAUGAAACCUGUCUUUUCCUUGCAAAGUAAGAAAUUGGCUCAUAUAUCUCUAUGUGCAUCUUGGCUUUUAUCAUGCAGUUGCAGGUCAUCAUCUUAAUUUGUGACUGACCAUUUUGCUGAAGCUGAGGAAAGUACGCAGACAAAUCUCUAAUAAUGCUGUGUGGGGAAGAAAAUUGUUCUGUGUCUGUUUAGCUGAGGGCAGUAAACAACUGGAAGAUUGCACAUGUAGCUAGUCUGCUAGAGUGGAAGAAAGGGUUUAGAAGGGUGUCAGGAAGAAAAAUGUGGAAAUGGCUGAGGCUUAAAUAACCUUAGUUUUGCAGGAUGACAUUUAUCCAUAGUAUUAGUAUAAAAAUUCUCUGUCAGGACUGCUGUUAAAAGGCUUUUUGAAAAAUAGAAGCAUGCAAAUAUGUUAUUGUUGUGAUACUUUUGUUGAGAUUUAUAAAAACUUUUCUGAGGUUAAAGGGUGAAAAGGAAUGUGAAUACUAGCAAAAAUGCAACUCGGGCAUCAAGAACUACCUUGUAUUUAGACUAGAUACAUUGAUUCACACUGCAGAUCACAGACACAAAAAGUUACAGAGUGCUGUGAGCCUUAUUGCAGCAAACGAUUUGGCUGUUAAAGACUCCACUGGCUUGUUACCUUUAUGUUGAUGGCAAAAAAAAUAUAAAUAGCAUGGGUGAAAUGCUUUUUGUUCUGAUCCUGUGUUCAAAUUGGCUAGCCUUGAAGAUGAUGCAAGUUAGAGUAGCUGAGUAUCGUUGAGUUAGAGUAGCUGACUGUAUCAUUGACCUUUGAAGACGGGAGUAGAGGUUGCUUUAGGAAGAACUGUAUUUGGAAGGGAAAGUCUUGUCUACAGGUAGUUCACUGAAAGUAAACAUAAAUGCAGCAGUGUGAAUAGUGUGAAUACAUCUUCUACAGUUGGAGGAGUUAAGCAAACUGAUAUAUCAGAGUCACAGUAUGAUUCCACUUCUCUUUCUACAGUGUAGAUAAUUCUUGUGAAGAGAGCUCAUGUAUUUUGUGUAGGGGAAUAGCUGUGAACACAGAGAGACAUGCCUUCUUCUUAAAUGUCAUGAAAAAUCUGCACCUAAUUGGCACUAAAUUUGCACUCGUCUGUCUUGUGGAUUAACCCCAGUGGGCUUGAACGCUGCUCAGCUGCUCGCAAAGCAGAGGAAGAAUAAAAGCAAGAAAACUUGUGAGUGAAUGUAGAAUUAUUUAAUAAGCAAAGUGUAAGAAGACAGAAAACAAGACAAGUAAUAUUGCACUCAUCACCUCCAGUGGAUGGACCAAUAUCAGAUAGUUCCCAUACAAAAGGUGACUGAAUUCCUUAAAGCCCUUCUUCUCCUUUUUAUUGCUGUGUGACAUCAUACAGUAUGAAGUCUAUUUUUCAUUAGUACAAGCCUGAUUUUUGUCCAUUCUCAAUCUCUUGGUCAUGCACCAUUCUGUUCAAUGUGGGAACAGAGUGUGAACUGUGCAAAGGCUGUUCAGUAAGAGAUACAACUUUAGUGUUUUACCAGCAUUGUUUUGGCCACAGCACUGUGUGAGCUGCUAUGAAGGAAAUUCCCACCAUCACAGCCAGACCCAGUACAGUCUGGUUCAUCCAGUACAGGAUCUCAUACAGCCAGACUUCUGUGUGUGUGUGUCUACAUGUAGAAACAUGCCAGCUGUUCAGCAAGGAGAGUGCUGCUGGUUUGCUUUCUGUAUUGUUCUAGUUUGAGUCAUGCUGUGGUGUCCAGUCUUUACCACACCAGAAAGAAAUACUACCUUACUCAGGUACAGCCACUGGAGACAGCCCUGCUCAGGUGGUAGAGCACACACUACCUUUGUGCCAGCCAGUCAUGUAAUGGUACUGGGAGUUUUUUUGUGAGUUAUUGUUGGGAAUGCUGCCACAGCAGAGCUGGCUCCAUGUAAUAAAUAUUAAUGAAGAAUACAAUUAUUGCACAGCCAUCUUAGUGAUCUGUUAGAACAAGUCAGUCCUGGGGAACAAGAAGGAAAUUAUAUAUUGUGCAAUGUAGUGCACUUAGAAGUCAUGCUUCUAAAAGCAUGAAGAAAUCCACCCUGAAGGGGGAUUCUAGGUUCAGUUAAAUGUGUAGCAAGAGUACUGUGAAAUCCAGUGCAGAAAUCACCUUUCAACUGGCUAACUCUUAUGCUUUGGCAAUGGUGUUUGUAAGUAAUACUACUGCUUCUUUUAGAAAAUAGUAUCUCCCAAAUCUUUAACUAAAAAGGUGGAGUGCUUCUUUGAUACUGUAAGUUCCUGAUAGUUCAGUGUUUUAGGAAACAUAAAUAAGUGUGUGGCCAUACAGGGUGCUAGACAUAGAUUCUUAUGGGCUUUCACGCAAAGUAAAAUGCGUGGAAAGUGACAAUGAGGACUGGAGUGGGCUGUAGAAGUUUGCAUGGCAGCAUUGAAAGGAAGGUACCCUACAGGUCUGUUUGUCUUUUACUCUGCAGUAAAUGGUAAUGAUACUGAGCUUUUCUCUCAAAAUCUGUGAUGUACUAAGAGUCACGUCUUCCCAUUUGCAAAUGGGAAGAAUAGUAUUUUUUCUUUGGUUUUAGAAUUUCCACUAAAUUGCAGUAGUAGUAUGGGAUGCAUUUUAUUUGAGUGAUACUAGUCAGGAGGCUGGAAAAUUCCUAUUGGAGACAAAUGUUUAAUGUGUGGCUGGGAAAUACAUUGACCUUGAGAGCUGUUUUGCAGGAACAGCAUAGACUAAUCAGAUGUUGUUCUAUAGGGAAUAGCAGAGGUAGUCUGCUCUUGUUAAGAUUUUCAGUAAUUCUGAGCCGAGACUCCCUAGGUAGGUACAAUUUCUCUUAUGUGUGGCAUACAUACCUACUUUGAAAGAAAGAAAUUUCUAACUGGCAUGCCCAUUAUUUGCGCCAAUUACACGAGUCUAGAAAUACUGUGAAAUUAAAUACUUAUUUGAGAACCAGAAAAUAAAAAGCUUUAUUAAUAUUUUGAUAUUAAUGUAGAAUAUGUAUGCAUGUCAUUGUUUCAGAAAACUAGUGCUAGCUAAGAACUGUUUUCAUGAACAGAAUUGUUACCUUUUCUUAAGAACCUGGGUAAACAAAGCAACUUUUUAAAUUAUUUGGGUUGAAUGUGUUUACACCCAAAUAAUUUCCUUACCCAAGGUAUAUGGCAAUUAAAAAGUAAAAUCCACAUUAGAAUGCAACCACUCAAAACCAUUGUAUAUGUAUGUGUGGGUAUCUGUGUGUAUUUAGAUAAACAGAUUUUAGAUGUUUUUAUGUAUAAAUGUGCACAAAUGAAUUCAAGAUUCUACUACAUAUAGGGUUAGGCUUCAGAGAGCCAGAAAGUUCAGAGUCCAAGGGAUACUGGGGCUGGAAAAGUCAUGCCUAGGAGAUCACAGCAAGGUAACAACAUUGCUGCCUCCACAAUAUGGGACACCCAUGGAGGUGGGGACUUCAGCCUCUGCACCAAGCUUCCAUUACGUUUAGGGUUCAGAGAGCCAGAAAACAUAAAGCUAAAUGUAUAAAAAGGAGUUGAUGUUGGGUUACUGCAUGAAAGUCUGCUUCUGCCCUGUCUUUUUGUUGAGAGGAAGAUGGUCAUGUUUACCCUCAGAAGGGCGGACCAGUGUACUGAGGUAUUUGGUGAAUGGAGGGAGGUGUUGGAACCCAGGAAAUUCCUCUGACUGCCCUGGAGACUCAAGACCCUGACAGGGGGCUCAGAGACCUCAGCACAGAGCCCAAGACCCUUGUGCCUUUGAUUUUGACCCAUGGAGCAAAUGACCAUCUUUAUGUGAAGAAUUACAAGUCAAGAGAGUUUAAGUAGAAUAAUAGUUAGUUUAUCACAGGGUGAAAAAUAGACUUUUAGGGUUUUUUAUAAUGGGGGUUCAGGAGGCAAGAUGGAGGAAUCUGGGCAUGUUCCGUCUUUCUUCUUGUUCUUCUUGGCCUCCAUCUUCUGCUUUGAUGUUGGCACUUUUGGAUUGGUUUAGAGUAGAAACUUGCUGUCUAACAUAGGUGAUAUGUAUUGGAAAGUGACUGUAAAUAUUGUACACGUAGUUUUUAGUAUAAAAAAGAUAACACCGCCCCAGGGCGGCCAGUGUGCCUCAACCCAACCUGCCAAACAGACCUUGGCAGGUCAGAAAAAGAAAAAAGAAAAAAGAAAAAAGAAAAAAAAAGAAAAAAAAAUAGAUAAGAAAUAAUAAACAACCUUGAGACCGAGAACUGAAGAUCUCUGACUCCUUCUUCGACUGCGAGGCUUGGAAAAGAGACUUUCUAACAUAUCUUGGGAUCACUCUGACCAGCAGAAGUCCCAAGAAGGAGGAAAGGGUUUUCAGUGUCUAGUCUGCAGUGGUGGGUGGCUGGUUUGAUUGAGACUGGUGCUUGUUUUAAUCAUCAAUGUCUCCAGUCCCCUCCUCUGCUAAGAGCUGGUGGAAGCAGAUGAUGUAAGAUG